This 253-nucleotide ribosomal RNA is filed under the name uncultured bacterium. Its description in RNAcentral is "partial 16S ribosomal RNA". It matches the Rfam family "Bacterial small subunit ribosomal RNA", at positions 524 to 777 of the family's 1533-position model. The record is from RNAcentral.
UACAGAGGUCUCAAGCGUUGUUCGGAUAUACUGGGCGUAAAGCGCACGUAGGCGGCGCCGUAAGUCAGGGGUGAAAUCCCGGAGCUCAACUCCGGACUGCCCUUGAAACUGCAGUGCUAGAAUCUUGGAGAGGCGAGUGGAAUUCCGAGUGUAGAGGUGAAAUUCGUAGAUAUUCGGAAGAACACCAGUGGCGAAGGCGACUCGCUGGACAAGUAUUGACGCUGAGGUGCGAAAGCGUGGGGAGCAAACAGGG